This 259-nucleotide ribosomal RNA is filed under the name uncultured Staphylococcus sp. RNAcentral's name for it is "partial 16S ribosomal RNA". It matches the Rfam family "Bacterial small subunit ribosomal RNA", at positions 103 to 354 of the family's 1533-position model. The record is from RNAcentral. Lineage: Bacteria; Bacillati; Bacillota; Bacilli; Caryophanales; Staphylococcaceae.
CGGGUGAGUAACACAUGGAUAACCUACCUAUAAGACUGGGAUAACUUCGGGAAACCGGAGCUAAUACCGGAUAAUAUAUUGAACCGCAUGGUUCAAUAGUGAAAGACGGUUUUGCUGUCACUUAUAGAUGGAUCCGCGCCGCAUUAGCUAGUUGGUAAGGUAGCGGCUUACCAAGGCAACGAUGCGUAGCCGACCUGAGAGGGUGAUCGGCCACACUGGAACUGAGACACGGUCCAGACUCCUACGGGAGGCAGCAGGG